UACACGGUAAAAGGGUUGUGGGGGGUAU
This 28-nucleotide small RNA is filed under the name Bombyx mori (domestic silkworm). RNAcentral describes it as "piRNA piR-bmo-2103363". The record is from RNAcentral. Lineage: Eukaryota; Metazoa; Arthropoda; Insecta; Lepidoptera; Bombycidae.